UUUGAGUAUUUAUGAACUGGUUUGGGUUGAGGUUUCUUUAUUAUGCAUGCGAUUGAAGAUUUUUAGAUCUGUGGUUUUGGAUUUAUGUAUUUAUACAUUGUGGUUUUCUACCCCUCGAGGUAGUCGGUUUUCAAAAAUGAAGUUUCCGAAUGGGAAACGGUUUUAAAAGGCUUUUCAAAUGGUUUUUAUGAAUGAUUAAAUAGAGUUUAAAAAUAA
RNAcentral lists this long non-coding RNA (216 nucleotides) under Ananas comosus (pineapple). RNAcentral's name for it is "long non-coding RNA (ACOM_LNC034068)". Lineage: Eukaryota; Viridiplantae; Streptophyta; Magnoliopsida; Poales; Bromeliaceae. The record is from RNAcentral.